Molecule: non-coding RNA, 359 nt
Organism: Anolis sagrei ordinatus
Lineage: Eukaryota; Metazoa; Chordata; Lepidosauria; Squamata; Anolidae
Source: RefSeq, a predicted model, not a curated record
CGACAGCCGUGGCUUCAUGAGAGAGAGCAUCAAACACAGAGGAGCCAUGACCCUUGACCUCUCUCAAAUUAUAGGACCUGAGCCUACAUGGGAAGAAAAGUGGAUCAAUUACGUCAAUGUGGUCAACUCCAUCAAGCCCUGGAGAGCAGCUGGCAAGCCCUUUGUGUGCGACCGACUCUGGCUGUGGACGAGUUAAAGUCAAGGAAGGAAGAAAAGAAAAAUCUGGACCAGCUUGAAAGACCUUGUGCUUUUAUUAAACCCGAGAGCACACAAAACGAGACUGCACUGCUCUGGAUGUAGUUUCUCUUAUUUGCAAAGUUUGCAAACUUGACAAAGUUCCCUUUGUAAAGUUCUCUAUG